RNAcentral lists this ribosomal RNA (460 nucleotides) under uncultured bacterium. Its description in RNAcentral is "partial 16S ribosomal RNA". It matches the Rfam family "Bacterial small subunit ribosomal RNA", at positions 338 to 795 of the family's 1533-position model. The record is from RNAcentral.
CCUACGGGAGGCAGCAGUGAGGAAUAUUGGUCAAUGGCCGUAAGGCUGAACCAGCCAAGUCGCGUGAAGGAAGAAGGAUCUAUGGUUUGUAAACUUCUUUUAUAGGGGAAUAAAGGUAUCCACGUGUGGAUAUUUGCAUGUACCCUAUGAAUAAGCAUCGGCUAACUCCGUGCCAGCAGCCGCGGUAAUACGGAGGAUGCGAGCGUUAUCCGGAUUUAUUGGGUUUAAAGGGUGCGUAGGUUGUUUUUUAAGUCAGCGGUGAAAGUUUGUGGCUCAACCAUAAAAUUGCCGUUGAAACUGGCGUUCUUGAGUGGGCGAGAAGUAUGCGGAAUGCGUGGUGUAGCGGUGAAAUGCAUAGAUAUCACGCAGAACUCCGAUUGCGAAGGCAGCAUACCGGCGCCCAACUGACGCUGAAGCACGAAAGCGUGGGUAUCGAACAGGAUUAGAUACCCCAGUAGUC